This 766-nucleotide ribosomal RNA is filed under the name uncultured bacterium. RNAcentral describes it as "bacterial SSU rRNA". It matches the Rfam family "Bacterial small subunit ribosomal RNA", at positions 28 to 806 of the family's 1533-position model. The record is from RNAcentral.
GACGAACGCUGGCGGCGCGCCUAACACAUGCAAGUCGAACGGAGCUUAGAGAGCUUGCUUUUUAAGCUUAGUGGCGAACGGGUGAGUAACGCGUGAGUAACCUGCCCUAGAGUGGGGGGACAACAGUUGGAAACGACUGCUAAUACCGCAUAAGCCCACGGUGCCGCAUGACACUGAGGGAAAAGGAUUUAUUCGCUUUAGGAUGGACUCGCGUCCAAUUAGCUAGUUGGUGAGGUAACGGCCCACCAAGGCGACGAUUGGUAGCCGGACUGAGAGGUUGAACGGCCACAUUGGGACUGAGACACGGCCCAGACUCCUACGGGAGGCAGCAGUGGGGGAUAUUGCACAAUGGGGGAAACCCUGAUGCAGCGACGCCGCGUGGAGGAAGAAGGUUUUCGGAUUGUAAACUCCUGUCGUUAGGGACGAUAAUGACGGUACCUAACAAGAAAGCACCGGCUAACUACGUGCCAGCAGCCGCGGUAAAACGUAGGGUGCAAGCGUUGUCCGGAAUUACUGGGUGUAAAGGGAGCGCAGGCGGGAAGACAAGUUGGAAGUGAAAACCAUGGGCUCAACCCAUGAAUUGCUUUCAAAACUGUUUUUCUUGAGUAGUGCAGAGGUAGAUGGAAUUCCCGGUGUAGCGGUGGAAUGCGUAGAUAUCGGGAGGAACACCAGUGGCGAAGGCGGUCUACUGGGCACCAACUGACGCUGAGGCUCGAAAGCAUGGGUAGCAAACAGGAUUAGAUACCCUGGUAGUCCAUGCCGUAAA